Molecule: ribosomal RNA, 412 nt
Filed under: actinobacterium SCGC AAA028-D19
Lineage: Bacteria; Bacillati; Actinomycetota; Actinomycetes
Description: bacterial SSU rRNA
Rfam family: Bacterial small subunit ribosomal RNA
Source: RNAcentral
UUGCGCAAUGGGCGAAAGCCUGACGCAGCAACGCCGCGUGAGGGAUGAAGGCCUUCGGGUUGUAAACCUCUUUUAUCAGGGAAGAAGCGAAAGUGACGGUACCUGAAGAAAAAGCACCGGCUAACUACGUGCCAGCAGCCGCGGUAAUACGUAGGGUGCAAGCGUUAUCCGGAAUUAUUGGGCGUAAAGAGCUCGUAGGCGGUUUGUCGCGUCUGCUGUGAAAAUCUGAGGCUCAACCUCGGACUUGCAGUGGGGUACGGGCAGACUAGAGUGCGGUAGGGGAGAAGGGAAUUCCUGGUGUAGCGGUGGAAUGCGCAGAUAUCAGGAGGAACACCAAUGGCGAAGGCACUUCUCUGGGCCGCUACUGACGCUGAGGAGCGAAAGCGUGGGGAGCGAACAGGAUUAGAUACCC